UCCGUGUUAACCACGGCAGUCUCUCUAGAGAGCCCAACUUAAUGCUGGCAACUAAAGAUAAGGGUUGCGCUCGUUGCGGGACUUAACCCAACAUGUCACCACACGAGCUGACGACAGCCAUGCAGCACCUGUCUCCCGGUGGUAUUGCUACCAAAGCCCUAUUUCUAGGGAUGUCCGAGGAUGUCAAAUCCAGGUAAGGUUCUUCGCGUUGCUUCGAAUUAAACCACAUGAUCCACCGCUUGUGCGGGCCCCCGUCAAUUCCUUUGAGUUUUAGUCUUGCGACCGUACUUCCCAGGCGGGGUACUUAUUGCGUUAGCUCCGGUUCGGCGGGGGUCAAGACCCACCAAACCUAGUACCCAUCGUUUACGGCGUGGACUAC
RNAcentral lists this unclassified non-coding RNA (379 nucleotides) under uncultured Oligoflexales bacterium. Its description in RNAcentral is "contains 16S-23S intergenic spacer region". The record is from RNAcentral. Lineage: Bacteria; Pseudomonadati; Bdellovibrionota; Oligoflexia; Oligoflexales.